CCUACGGGCGGCAGCAGUGGGGAAUAUUGGACAAUGGGGGGAACCCUGAUCCAGCCAUGCCGCGUGUGUGAAGAAGGCCCUCGGGUUGUAAAGCACUUUCAGUGAGGAAGAACGCCUGGUGGUUAAUACCCAUCAGGAAAGACAUCACUCACAGAAGAAGCACCGGCUAACUCCGUGCCAGCAGCCGCGGUAAUACGGAGGGUGCGAGCGUUAAUCGGAAUUACUGGGCGUAAAGCGCGCGUAGGUGGCUUGAUAAGCCGGUUGUGAAAGCCCCGGGCUCAACCUGGGAACGGCAUCCGGAACUGUCAAGCUAGAGUGCAGGAGAGGAAGGUAGAAUUCCCGGUGUAGCGGUGAAAUGCGUAGAGCUCGGGAGGAAUACCAGUGGCGAAGGCGGCCUUCUGGACUGACACUGACACUGAGGUGCGAAAGCGUGGGUAGCAAACAGGAUUAGAUACCCGAGUAGUC
Molecule: ribosomal RNA, 465 nt
Filed under: Vreelandella stevensii
Lineage: Bacteria; Pseudomonadati; Pseudomonadota; Gammaproteobacteria; Oceanospirillales; Halomonadaceae
Description: partial 16S ribosomal RNA
Rfam family: Bacterial small subunit ribosomal RNA
Source: RNAcentral